UACGUAGGGGGCAAGCGUUGUCCGGAUUUAUUGGGCGUAAAGAGCGUGUAGGCGGUUUGGUAGGUCCGCUGUGAAAACUCGAGGCUCAACCUCGAGACGCCGGUGGAAACCAUCAGACUAGAGUCCGGAAGAGGAGAGUGGAAUUCCUGGUGUAGCGGUGAAAUGCGCAGAUAUCAGGAAGAACACCCGUGGCUAAGGCGGCUCUCUAGUACGGUACUGACGCUGAUACGCGAAAGCGUGGGGAGCAAACAGG
This 253-nucleotide ribosomal RNA is filed under the name uncultured bacterium. RNAcentral's name for it is "partial 16S ribosomal RNA". It matches the Rfam family "Bacterial small subunit ribosomal RNA", at positions 524 to 776 of the family's 1533-position model. The record is from RNAcentral.